Molecule: long non-coding RNA, 448 nt
Filed under: Capra hircus (goat)
Lineage: Eukaryota; Metazoa; Chordata; Mammalia; Artiodactyla; Bovidae
Description: lncRNA (ENSCHIG00000001267.1)
Source: RNAcentral
ACCAUUCAAGUUACUAGGACACCCUAAAGAGGGUUAAAACCAGGAAGAGAACACAGGAUUUGGUCUCAGGUACUGAGACACUCAGACGCACACACAAAAUAAAAUCCCAACCAUUUCCAAAAGGUUCACUUUGAUACAGUAUCAGAAGCAUUAGGAGGCGUUGCUGUCUUACACAGCUUCCAUGGUUUGCUAAUGAGAACUGACCAUACCCUCUUCCUUGACAGGCAAGUGGCUACUAACCAAGAGAGCAGGGAAAGAAACCUGCAUUGGUAGACAGCCCCAUCCACGUGUUUUACUUCAUGGGGCUGCCCAUGUGGUGCUAGUGGUGAAGAGCCUGCCUGUCAAUGAAACUAACAAACAUACUGUAAAUCAACUAUACUCCAAUACAAUUUUUAAAAAUAUUAAAAAAAAAAAGUGUUCCAGCCUGGGAAAUCACCCAUGCAGGUGA